RNAcentral lists this ribosomal RNA (798 nucleotides) under uncultured bacterium. RNAcentral's name for it is "bacterial SSU rRNA". It matches the Rfam family "Bacterial small subunit ribosomal RNA", at positions 51 to 857 of the family's 1533-position model. The record is from RNAcentral.
ACACAUGCAAGUCGAGCGGAGACAGUGAGUAGCUUGCUAUGAGCUGUUUUAGCGGCGGACGGGUGAGUAACGCGUGAGCAACCUUUCCCAGACAGGGGAAUAACACACCGAAAGGUGUACUAAUACCGCAUAAGACCACGGGAUCACAUGGUUCUGGGGUAAAAGAUUUAUCGGUUUGGGGUGGGCUCGCGUCCGAUUAGGUAGUUGGUGAGGUAACGGCCCACCAAGCCGACGAUCGGUAGCCGACCUGAGAGGGUGAUCGGCCACAUUGGGACUGAGACACGGCCCAAACUCCUACGGGAGGCAGCAGUGGGGAAUAUUGGGCAAUGGGGGGAACCCUGACCCAGCAACGCCGCGUGGAGGAAGAAGGUUUUCGGAUCGUAAACUCCUGUCCUUGGAGACGAGUAGAAGACGGUAUCCAAGGAGGAAGCCCCGGCUAACUACGUGCCAGCAGCCGCGGUAAUACGUAGGGGGCAAGCGUUGUCCGGAAUAAUUGGGCGUAAAGGGCGCGUAGGCGGCUCGGUAAGUCUGGGGUGAAAGUCCUGCUUUUAAGGUGGGAAUUGCUUUGGAUACUGUCGGGCUUGAGUGCAGGAGAGGUUAGUGGAAUUCCCAGUGUAGCGGUGAAAUGCGUAGAGAUUGGGAGGAACACCAGUGGCGAAGGCGACUAACUGGACUGUAACUGACGCUGAGGCGCGAAAGUGUGGGGAGCAAACAGGAUUAGAUACCCUGGUAGUCCACACUGUAAACGAUGAAUGCUAGGUGUAGGGGGUAUCGACCCCUUCUGUGCCGCAGUCAACA